GAUGAACGCUGGCGGCGUGCCUAAUACAUGCAAGUCGAGCGAACGGACGAGAAGCUUGCUUCUCUGAUGUUAGCGGCGGACGGGUGAGUAACACGUGGAUAACCUACCUAUAAGACUGGGAUAACUUCGGGAAACCGGAGCUAAUACCGGAUAAUAUUUUGAACCGCAUGGUUCAAAAGUGAAAGACGGUCUUGCUGUCACUUAUAGAUGGAUCCGCGCUGCAUUAGCUAGUUGGUAAGGUAACGGCUUACCAAGGCAACGAUGCAUAGCCGACCUGAGAGGGUGAUCGGCCACACUGGAACUGAGACACGGUCCAGACUCCUACGGGAGGCAGCAGUAGGGAAUCUUCCGCAAUGGGCGAAAGCCUGACGGAGCAACGCCGCGUGAGUGAUGAAGGUCUUCGGAUCGUAAAACUCUGUUAUUAGGGAAGAACAUAUGUGUAAGUAACUGUGCACAUCUUGACGGUACCUAAUCAGAAAGCCACGGCUAACUACGUGCCAGCAGCCGCGGUAAUGCGUAGGUGGCAAGCGUUAUCCGGAAUUAUUGGGCGUAAAGCGCGCGUAGGCGGUUUUUUAAGUCUGAUGUGAAAGCCCACGGCUCAACCGUGGAGGGUCAUUGGAAACUGGAAAACUUGAGUGCAGAAGAGGAAAGUGGAAUUCCAUGUGUAGCGGUGAAAUGCGCAGAGAUAUGGAGGAACACCAGUGGCGAAGGCGACUUUCUGGUCUGUAACUGACGCUGAUGUGCGAAAGCGUGGGGAUCAAACAGGAUUAGAUACCCUGGUAGUCCACGCCGUAAACGAUGAGUGCUAAGUGUUAGGGGGUUUCCGCCCCUUAGUGCUGCAGCUAACGCAUUAAGCACUCCGCCUGGGGAGUACGACCGCAAGGUUGAAACUCAAAGGAAUUGACGGGGACCCGCACAAGCGGUGGAGCAUGUGGUUUAAUUCGAAGCAACGCGAAGAACCUUACCAAAUCUUGACAUCCUUUGACAACUCUAGAGAUAGAGCUUUCCCCUUCGGGGGACAAAGUGACAGGUGGUGCAUGGUUGUCGUCAGCUCGUGUCGUGAGAUGUUGGGUUAAGUCCCGCAACGAGCGCAACCCUUAAGCUUAGUUGCCAUCAUUAAGUUGGGCACUCUAAGUUGACUGCCGGUGACAAACCGGAGGAAGGUGGGGAUGACGUCAAAUCAUCAUGCCCCUUAUGAUUUGGGCUACACACGUGCUACAAUGGACAAUACAAAGGGCAGCGAAACCGCGAGGUCAAGCAAAUCCCAUAAAGUUGUUCUCAGUUCGGAUUGUAGUCUGCAACUCGACUACAUGAAGCUGGAAUCGCUAGUAAUCGUAGAUCAGCAUGCUACGGUGAAUACGUUCCCGGGUCU
Molecule: ribosomal RNA, 1372 nt
Filed under: uncultured bacterium
Lineage: Bacteria
Description: bacterial SSU rRNA
Rfam family: Bacterial small subunit ribosomal RNA
Source: RNAcentral